This 6173-nucleotide long non-coding RNA is filed under the name Homo sapiens (human). RNAcentral describes it as "HSALNT0185923". Lineage: Eukaryota; Metazoa; Chordata; Mammalia; Primates; Hominidae. The record is from RNAcentral.
GGGAGAGGGAGGUCAGGCUGCAGAGGGCUUCCUGGGGAAUUUCCUUUUGCUAAUAAGCAGUAAUGGAGAGCCACCGUGGAUUGGUGAGUAGAGAAAACAGUGUUUAAUGAAGACAAUUCCAGCAGCUGUGUGGAGGGUGGAGGAGAGGAGGCGAGGUCCAGGCGGGGGAUGCCAGCUAGAGUCCUGCACUAAGCAGUAGCCAUGGAAAUGGAAAAUGAGGAUCCAAGGAAACCAUGCGGAGGGAGAACCGGCUGACAUUGGCAUGGAGUGGAAGUGGGGGAUUUUGGAGAGGGGGCCAGUGGAAACUGGUGCCAGGACAGUGUGCCACUGGCAACCAUAGAAAUGUGUUGGCGAAGAGAUGCUGAUUGAAUGAAGGGAGAAGGGAGAGGAACAGUGGGUUUCUUUCUUUUUUUCUUUUUCUUUUUUUUUUUUUUUUGGUCUUCACCAUUUCCAAUAUUGGGAGAACAUGCCAGGAGAGAUUUUUCUAUCCACCACUGGAGAUAUUAUUAUUCAGGAUGAUGGAACUGUAGAUUGCAGAAUGAUCAAAACCAGUUUGUAACUGAAACCAGGUGAGAAAAUGAGCAUUCAAGGGAGUGGAGGACGGAGAAAAAACAGAAUGGACGCUUGAUUGAGGCUUGAGAAAAUGGUGGCAUAAGUGGAGCCGAGCUUUUCAGCCUCAGCAAUGCUGACAUUUUGCGAUGCCUCAUUCUUCAUUUUCAAGGGCUGUCUCAUGCAUCCUAGGAUGCUGAGCAGCAUCCCAGGCCUCUACCCCUGCUCCCCACUCAUGACAAUGAAAACUGUCUGCAGACAUUGGCAAAUGUCCUUUGAGAGGAAAAACAGCCCCCAGUAGAGACCCAUGGGUUAGAGGUAAUAUUGAUAUUUAUUAGACAUUUAUAAUAUGCCAGGUACUGUUCUAAGUCCUCUAUAGGUAUUAAUGUAUUUAAUUCUCAAAACUAUAUUUUUAAUCACUGUAUUACUAUUAUUCUCCAUUAUUCCCAAAUAAGGAAACCAAGACUCAGGAGUGAUGUAAUUUUUCAAAGUUUCCACCACUAAAACGUGGCAGCUUCAGGCAGUUUGACUCCAAGGCCCAUGUUUUUUUACCAAAAGGCUCUACUGCCUUUUUGUGGCAAGAGGAUUCAUAUGCAAAAGCACUUUGAAGACACCACAGGGGGACUGCGGAGAGGGUACUGGGGGCAUGGAGGAGACCCCAAAGCAUCAGGCCUAAGGCACUAAAAGAAGGCUCAUACUACCUAAGAAACAGGGACCCCAGAGAGAGGGGCUGGGGGAAGACAAUGAAUUUUGUUUUGGAUCAGUAAAGGUUUUAGGGUGACCACACUGAAAGCAGCAGUGAAGAAGCAGAGAAAACAGAACUUCCUGAUGUCAGGGAAGACAGGAAGUAUUGUGUGACAGCAAAGUCCGUAAUGAAGAGACGGAUUGGGUCAGGACAAAGGCAGUUGUAGCUGUAAAGAACAAAACAAAGUCCCCUCUGAAGCAUCCAGCAAACAAAAGAUAGACAUGAGUGUUUAUACUGGAAAGAGAAUGAUUAUGGACCUUUACAUCAAAGAAUGAUGAUUUCUCAGCAAAGUGUGAUGACACCAUCAACUGAGACCAGGACUAUGGAGGAGAGAAUGCUCAGAGAGCCCAUGUUUUGAGAGUGGGGUGGGUGCUUGUGAACAAAGGCUGGUCAUGCCGUCAUUCGUGAUGAUGGGCUCUGGAAGAAAGGAUUCUGACGACUUUUUUUUUUUUUAUCUGCCCUUAGUAGUGUGAGUGACAGAACACUAAAAGCAGAUAUGCCUGCAAGUGGGUGGGUCAGUACUGGAGAAGCUGAAUUCCAGUUCGAGGAAACAGAGUGGCAGGGGAGGGAAGGAAGGGAAGCAACAAGGAAUUCUAAGCCCAGGAGAAGGAAGCAUUAGAGAAUUCCACACUGAGAGGUAAGGUCAGUGAUGUAAGUGAAGUGGAGGAAGCAAAGCCUGAAGUCACAAGGAGAGAGGAUCCAGAUCUUAUGGGAGGGGUGAGAGAGAUACCAUAGGGAAGAAAUGCUGCUGGACACCUGGACAAAGAGGCAAUGUGGAAGAAUUGGAGGGCACAUUUUUGCCGGCAGGAGUGAGACAAAGAGAUGUACACCAAGCAAAUAUCUGCCCGGCAGAGGACUGGAUUAUCACAGUGACCGUAACACCCAAGCAAGCCUUGGAGGCUGGCAGGCGGGCGGGCGGGCUGACCUCCACAAAGAAGUCACAAAAACUCCCUGGAGUCCAGACAGAACUUCCCAGGGGGGCAGAGCAGCUGUCGCUUUCUGAUUCUCCCCCAGAAGAGUGCCAAAAUUGCUGCCACCUCGUCGUCCGCUAGGCAAGGAAGGAGGAAGGGUGAUAGGCACUGUCCCUCCCUGGGGAAUGCAGUUAGACAGACCCUCUGUCUCCCCCUGGCUGUCAGAGAAGGCAGACCUCCUUUCAGCCCCUCACCCGCCACCUCUUCCUUUUACCCUGUUUUUCUCAUCCUUCCUCUUCCUUUAUUCUCUCCCUCCCUAGUUUUUCCCUCCUUAACACACAGGUGGAGAAAAAGCAGAGAAGCUGAUGGAAGUUCAGGUCCUGGCUAUGGCACUUUCUUCUUUUUCAUCAGUGUCACCCUCUCUUUUUAAAAAAUUUCCCUCUUUCCUUGCUCCUGCCAUUCUCUCUAAUAACCCGAGGCUCCCAGCCCCCAGGUCUCUCUGGAUCGCCCCCUUGGACACACCUAAUUUCUGGGCUUAUUCUGUAACACUCCCAAUUUCCUGAGGCUCUCCUAGGCACUCGGUUUCAUACACUUUACUCCAUCUCCCUCAUCAGCAGAAAUGAACGCACCCAGCUUCUGCAAUUCUCCGCGGCAUGACAGCUGUAGUGGAGGGUCGUUGAGGCACAGGCUGGGGUAGGCAUUUAUGUAAGAAAAACAAAAGAAGAUGGAGAAGGCCAGCAAGGACCAUCCCUUUUGCUUUUUCCUACCGUACUGAGAAAUCGGCAGCGUUACUCACAGGAUAUGGACAAGAGAGGCAGAGAGCUCAGUUCCAGGCGCUUUACAUACUUCACCUCAUCUAACCUUCACAUAACCUGCGUUUUACAGCAGAGGAAAAGCUGGCAGUCAAAAGUUGAAAUGCCCUACCCAAAGUCACUCGGUGGCAAUUCCAGGAUUCUGAACUCAAGUCCCUUUGACAUCAAAGACCCAGCUUUUGACUCCCAUGGGCUGCCUCUCUGGGGAGUGGCACUAGGGCUCCCAUCUUUACUUCUAGAUGUUGAAUAUUCAAGAUCUAGGCUUGCCUUGGUGUAAAAGCCACAGCAGUACCAGCCCAGGAUCCUGAGGGUGCCAGGACUCAGCUGUCCUUGUAAGGCACUGCUUGGCACCCAGGACAAAAUAGAGACAAAUCUCCCAUGGUGGGAAAGGUAAAGAGAGAAUCCACUGAAUAUCAACUUUGAGAGGGGAGGAGAACCUUACGAGAAAUUUUAAGAAAUCUUCACCCUGGGGUCCUGAUGGAGACUUAAUCUCUGGCUGUGGCUAGAAUUUGUUCUCAGGGCCUUAGACAAGAGUCAGAGUCCAUUAGGGUGGACUGGGAGGUGGCUAACAUAGUAGACAAUUAUAAAGAAAGCUAGUAUUCCUCUAUUCCAAUAUUAUCUGAAUCACAUUCAUCCCUUCCUAAGUACUUGCAUCCCCUAUCCCUGGGCGGUCACGUUGGCUCACCCGUGUCUGGGCCAGAUAGCUGGGCUCCUACAUUACUUGAUUUCUGCCACCUUAAAGACACCAUCAAUUCUGCCUUCUUCUCUAGACAUUUUUGCCCAAAUCUCAGCUCCUGGUUUGUGUGAGCUCUUGGAGGAUAGGCAUUAAAUUUGAUUCCACAGCAAAGAGGCCCUGCCCUUGGCCACAAACCUUCAUAAACAUCCUAUAAAUGAAUCCAUGCGGUGGGUUAAACUUGAAAGACAAAAAAGUCAGGAUUGCAAGGAAAAGCUGUUCUCCAAAGUCUUCACCUUCUAGAGACAAGUAACCAGAGGAAUAUUUGCCAGGGUGUGCCCUGGACACAUAGUCCAGAGCAAGGGCUCUUAACCUGCCAUUCAUAGAUGGGCUUCAGGGAUGCUAAGUCCCCUAAUAAAUACUUCAUGUGGAAUUUGAGGCAUUGGCACAAAAGUAGAUUUUUCAGGGAAGAGGAUCCAGAACAUUCAUUUUGGGAAUUGCUGCUUCAAUGUGUGGAAUAAAGGUCAGGGUAGAAGUGGGAAGGCAGCAAAGAUGAAGCGGGUUUGGGGGUCAAGGAGGGCAGCAUGGACUUCACAGGCUGUAAGCCAGGCUGUUUGUGACGGCAGCGGUGCAAAGCUGACUCGCAGAACACCUCAUUCCUCAGCAGGAGCUCAGCCUUCUUUGUUCAGACCUGAGAAGCAGGCACAAUACUUAACUGUUCCCACCUUUGUUGAGAAUGUUAAUAUAGGUUGGGUCCAAGCUCCCCCAGGUGAGAACCACAUAGCAUCUUUGGCAUUGCCCUAGCUGGCAGCCACUGCCGUCACUCCAUUUUGACCACCAUCUAUUUAACCCACCCCAUUUUCCCUGUUUAGAAAGUAGAAUCUCAGGAUAAGCCAGAUCUUAAACUUUUCUUACUUUUCCUUAAUUACAUAUAUCAGUUCCUGCAGCCUGCCAAGCCUGAAAUCCUCACAGAGCCCCAGAUCUAAUAGGAUUUGUUCUUUAAAAAGUCAUUUUGAGGGUUCCUAGCCCUGGUCUCUUUAAGGUAACUGAAAGGUUUGAUAUUUUUUGCAACCUAGUAUUUAUGCUUAUGAGUUUGUAAUUUCUAGCCAUCAUCUCUUUUUUCAAAGAAGGUUAUACACUGGCUCUCAGAGAUCUUUCCAGUCCUCUGUGAUUUUCCCAAAUGGCAGCCUUUGGCCCUGCACUGGCCACUUCUUUGUUAAAGACAUUUUAGAAUCUGUCAUGAAGACCUGGGGUUAUUUAUCAUAUUCUCCUUAAUUAAUGUUUUAAAAUCCUCUCCAAUUUUAUGUUGGUCUUGUGUUCCCUAACUCAUGCUAGAAUCCAGAUUACACACCACACACACACACACACACACACGUGUGUGUGAUUGUAUGUUAGUUACCAGUUCCCAAUUAUAUUUCUAAGAAAUUAAAGAUAUACUUCUUGUUCUUAUGAAGAUGGCUUUUACUGCUUUCCCUUUAAUUUCUCAUAUAACUAAAGUUUUUCAUUUUUUAUUUCCUAAUCAUCUUUUCUAAAUAUAAAAAUGAUAUGCUUUAUUGUGGAAAUUUUGGAAAGUAAAGAUAGAGAGGUAAAAUGGUAAUAAUUGCAUCGCUCCUAAAGUCUUAAAUCUUUUGCAUGAUAUGUCAAUCUUUCUUCUCAGAUUUCACAACUUUUACCAUUUCUGAAGAUGCCUACCUUCCCACUGAAGUGGCUUUCUUUUUAGAAUAAGACCUUUGUUUAUCCGAGCAGGAUCCCUCCAGACUUUCUCAUCUAGGAGAGCAAGCUGAUCUCCUAAACUAUCUCAAGGCACCUGCAGAGGAGAAAGAGCCCCGGACAUGAGAUUCAGAAAAGCUGGGCUUGAAUUCUAGGUUUUUCUUCCUCUUGACGGCAUAAUUUUGGGCAAUCAUUAGAGCACUUUAUAUCACUAGAGUACUUUGUACCUCAAUUUCCUCACCUUUAAAAUAGGGUUAAUAGUUCAUGCCCAGAAUUCCUCCUGGUGAGUUCUUGGGAAGACCAAAUAAUGUAUGAGGAAGACAGUAUAUAUGAGAAAGCUAUUGACACACUAUCAAGCUUUAGAAAUGUAAGUGAUCAAUAUUAUUACAUCCAAUUUGGUUUGUCUUUGCCUCCGUUGUCUUCCUUCAUUGAAAACCUUCCUUUUCUUUCUCAAGUUUUGGCUUGUUUUAGUUUUCCUUACAGUUUUUCAUGUGUGAUCAGUUCAUGGUGACUUUGUCCUAGGCUCACUUGAAACUUUAAAUCCUCAAUUAAUUGGUUUCCAUUUGUAUCUUCUGCAUUUUUGUACUAAAAAUUCAUGUUCUCUAAAUAUUCUAGAAACAUGGCACCUCGUGGCCAGAUUGUCUUUUCUUGCCAGAUGUAAUUUGAUGAGAUACUCAAAGAAGUCAGACUUGAUCUGGAAGCUUCUAAUUCAGAAAUGACUGCUGGCCCUCUACAUGGGACAACUAAGCAUCACACUGCACCACCCAAACUAG